GAUGAAGAACGUAGCGAAAUGCGAUAAGUAAUGUGAAUUGCAGAAUUCAGUGAAUCAUCGAAUCUUUGAACGCACCUUGCGCCCUUUGGCCAUUCCGAAGGGCAUGCCUGUUUGAGUAUCAUGAACACCUCAACUCUUCAUGGAUUUCCAUGAUGAGCUUGGACUUUGGGGGUCUUGCCGGCCUGUGGUCGGCUCCUCUCAAAUGAAUCAGCUUGCCGGUUUUUGGUGGGCAUCACAGGUGUGAUAACUAUCUACGCUUGUGGUUUUCCACCAGGGUAACCUUCAGCAGUGGAGGUUCACUGGAGCUUACAAAUGUCUCUCCUCUGUGAGGACAGCCCUUUGAAUGUUUGAUCUCAAAUCAGGUAGGACUACCCGCUGAACUUAAGCAUAUCAAUAAGCGGAGGA
This 405-nucleotide unclassified non-coding RNA is filed under the name soil metagenome. RNAcentral's name for it is "partial contains 5.8S ribosomal RNA, internal transcribed spacer 2, and large subunit ribosomal RNA". The stretch from base 1 to 121 matches the Rfam family "5.8S ribosomal RNA", at positions 35 to 154 of the family's 154-position model. The record is from RNAcentral.